Molecule: ribosomal RNA, 353 nt
Filed under: uncultured Acidobacteriaceae bacterium
Lineage: Bacteria; Pseudomonadati; Acidobacteriota; Terriglobia; Terriglobales; Acidobacteriaceae
Description: bacterial SSU rRNA
Rfam family: Bacterial small subunit ribosomal RNA
Source: RNAcentral
CUGGAGACAGGUGCUGCAUGGCUGUCGUCAGCUCGUGUCGUGAGACUGUUGGGUUAAGUCCCGCAACGAGCGCAACCCUUGCCUUUAGUUGCCAGCAGUUCGGCUGGCACUCUAAAGGGACUGCCGGUGUUAAACCGGAGGAAGUGGGGAUGACGUCAAGUCCUCAUGGCCUUUAUGACCAGGGCUACACACGUACUACAAUGGCCGAUACAAAGGGCAGCGACACUGCGAGGUGAAGCCAAUCCCGUAAAAUCGGUCUCAGUCCGGAUUGGAGUCUGCAACUCGACUCCAUGAAGUUGGAAUCGCUAGUAAUCGUGGAUCAGCAUGCCACGGUGAAUACGUUCCCGGGCCUU